Molecule: ribosomal RNA, 448 nt
Filed under: Textularia sp.
Lineage: Eukaryota; Foraminifera; Textulariida; Textulariidae
Description: SSU rRNA
Rfam family: Eukaryotic small subunit ribosomal RNA
Source: RNAcentral
UCAACGCGGGAAAUCUUACCGGGUCCGGACACACUGAGGAUUGACAGGCAAUAUUAAAUUAAAUAUUAAUUACUUCGGUUUUUAAUUAUUUAAUUUAUGUUAAAUAUGCUAGUCCUUUCAUGAUUAUGUGAUAGGUGGUGCAUGGCCGUUCUUAGUUCGUGGAGUGAUCUGUCUGCUUAAUUGCGUUUCACUAAGGGCUUAUAAAUUUACGUGUGUUGUAAGUACUUUGACCCCUACAUUGAAAUAUAUGUAGUGCGUGUCUUUGUUUGCUUUACUCACACAAUUAAGUCCUGAAAGCAACGAACGUGACCGCAACCUCUUGUUGCCUUUAUCCAAAACGGCGUUAUUUUAAAUUUAUUUAAGAUUAACGUUAAAAAGAGGCUUUUAAACUAGAGGGACCGCUGUAAUCUUUUUAAACCAGAGGAAGGUUGCGGCAAUAACAGGUCUG